RNAcentral lists this ribosomal RNA (464 nucleotides) under Vreelandella stevensii. RNAcentral describes it as "partial 16S ribosomal RNA". It matches the Rfam family "Bacterial small subunit ribosomal RNA", at positions 338 to 795 of the family's 1533-position model. Lineage: Bacteria; Pseudomonadati; Pseudomonadota; Gammaproteobacteria; Oceanospirillales; Halomonadaceae. The record is from RNAcentral.
ACUACGGGGGGCAGCAGUGGGGAAUAUUGGACAAUGGGCGAAAGCCUGAUCCAGCCAUGCCGCGUGUGUGAAGAAGGCCUUCGGGUUGUAAAGCACUUUCAGUGGGGAAGAAAGCCUUGGGGCUAAUACCCUCGAGGAAGGACAUCACCCACAGAAGAAGCACCGGCUAACUCCGUGCCAGCAGCCGCGGUAAUACGGAGGGUGCGAGCGUUAAUCGGAAUUACUGGGCGUAAAGCGCGCGUAGGCGGUCUGAUAAGCCGGUUGUGAAAGCCCCGGGCUCAACCUGGGAACGGCAUCCGGAACUGUCAGGCUAGAGUGCAGGAGAGGAAGGUAGAAUUCCCGGUGUAGCGGUGAAAUGCGUAGAGAUCGGGAGGAAUACCAGUGGCGAAGGCGGCCUUCUGGACUGACACUGACGCUGAGGUGCGAAAGCGUGGGUAGCAAACAGGAUUAGAUACCCUUUAGUC